AGCGAACGCUGGCGGCAGGCCUAACACAUGCAAGUCGAACGAACCUUUCGGGGUUAGUGGCGGACGGGUGAGUAACACGUGGGAACGUGCCUUUAGGUUCGGAAUAACUCAGGGAAACUUGUGCUAAUACCGAAUGUGCCCUUCGGGGGAAAGAUUAAUCGCCUUUAGAGCGGCCCGCGUCUGAUUAGCUAGUUGGUUGAGGUAAUGGCUCACCAAGGCGACGUUCAGUAGCUGGUCUGAGAGGAUGAUCAGCCACAUUGGGACUGAGACACGGCCCAAACUCCUACGGGAGGCAGCAGUGGGGAAUCUUGCGCAAGGGGCGAAAGCCUGACGCAGCCAUGCCGCGUGAAUGAUGAAGGUCUUAGGAUUGUAAAAUUCUUUCACCGGGGACGAUAAUGACGGUACCCGGAGAAGAAGCCCCGGCUAACUUCGUG
This 434-nucleotide ribosomal RNA is filed under the name uncultured bacterium. Its description in RNAcentral is "partial 16S ribosomal RNA". It matches the Rfam family "Bacterial small subunit ribosomal RNA", at positions 29 to 507 of the family's 1533-position model. The record is from RNAcentral.